AAUUGCAGAAUCCCGUGAACCAUCGAGUCUUUGAACGCACGUUGCGCCCGAAGCCAUCASGUUGAGGGCACGUCUUCCUGGGCGUCACGC
RNAcentral lists this ribosomal RNA (90 nucleotides) under Cyrtandra umbellifera. RNAcentral describes it as "partial 5.8S ribosomal RNA". It matches the Rfam family "5.8S ribosomal RNA", at positions 70 to 154 of the family's 154-position model. From Rfam's summary of the family: 5.8S ribosomal RNA (5.8S rRNA) is a component of the large subunit of the eukaryotic ribosome. Lineage: Eukaryota; Viridiplantae; Streptophyta; Magnoliopsida; Lamiales; Gesneriaceae. The record is from RNAcentral.